UACGGAGGGUGCAAGCGUUAUCCGGAUUCACUGGGUUUAAAGGGUGCGUAGGUGGGCAGGUAAGUCAGUGGUGAAAUCUCCGGGCUUAACUCGGAAACUGCCAUUGAUACUAUCUGUCUUGAAUACCGUGGAGGUCAGCGGAAUAUGUCAUGUAGCGGUGAAAUGCUUAGAUAUGACAUAGAACACCAAUUGCGAAGGCAGCUGACUACGCGAAUAUUGACACUGAUGCACGAAAGCGUGGGGAUCAAACAGG
RNAcentral lists this ribosomal RNA (253 nucleotides) under uncultured bacterium. RNAcentral's name for it is "partial 16S ribosomal RNA". It matches the Rfam family "Bacterial small subunit ribosomal RNA", at positions 524 to 776 of the family's 1533-position model. The record is from RNAcentral.